Saccharomycodes ludwigii is the source of this 108-nucleotide small nucleolar RNA. NCBI's taxonomy places the organism in Eukaryota, Fungi, Ascomycota, Saccharomycetes, Saccharomycodales, Saccharomycodaceae. The record is from RefSeq and is a predicted model, not a curated record.
AAAUAUGAUGAGCUUUUUAUACACUUUUUUAAUGCUAGAUAGUAUCUGAAAUAUAUGCAUCAAUGCAUUCAUGAUUAUAGUGUUACAACAAUGAAAUUUACUCUGAUA